Mercurialis annua (annual mercury) is the source of this 638-nucleotide long non-coding RNA. RefSeq lists it as uncharacterized. Lineage: Eukaryota; Viridiplantae; Streptophyta; Magnoliopsida; Malpighiales; Euphorbiaceae. The transcript has 3 exons. The record is from RefSeq and is a predicted model, not a curated record.
UGUGGUUUUACUCUUUUGAAUUUUUCUCGUCAAAUACAUACGGGUGCAAGAAUUGAAACUGACCCGUUUGUACUCUUCUCAAGUUGAGCAAGUGUUUUAUGUGGAAGAUCCUAAAAAUGUGAAUUGGCAUGUCGUUAUGAGGGUUUCUCCAAGGGAUGUGUAUGAUAUGGGUAAAGAGAAUGAAUAAGAUGAUACGAACCUAGUAUCUUUGAGUGAUCAAGCUUUUGAUGAGAAUGAGCAGCCUACUUGGAUUCGAAGUGGUUUCUAUGAAGACGAUUAGAAACUGGUUGAGGGGUCGAUGACGGUUUCAACUACAAGAAAAACUAGAGAUCCUUAUAUGAUUGUCAAAGUUAGGGAUCUUAUUUAAGCUUCUAUCAAGGAGUGUUCCUGCUCCUCAGGCUAUCAAAAUUUUGAAUGAUGAAGUGCAAUGUGAUAUCAUCAAGAUUGGCAGCUUGGUUUGCAAUAAGGUAUUUUAUUGUUAUUUAGGUUAGUUUAGUUGAUUCAGUUUUUAGAAGGUUGCAGUUUGAUUACAGUUAGGUGUUUUGAAAUUUGGUUGAGCAAAUAUUUAAUAUAAGUUUAUCGGUUUGAUCAAUGUAACCAACUAAUUCGAUCGGUUCAUAUUGUGUUUUUAAGAUUUU